Molecule: long non-coding RNA, 1459 nt
Filed under: Sus scrofa (pig)
Lineage: Eukaryota; Metazoa; Chordata; Mammalia; Artiodactyla; Suidae
Description: lncRNA (ENSSSCG00015072564.1)
Source: RNAcentral
CACGGCUCGGAUCUGACGUUGCUGGGGCUGUGGUGUAGGCCGGCAGCUACAGCUCGGAUUGGACUCCUAGCCUGGGAACCUCCAUAUGCUUUGGGUUUGGCCCUAAAAAGCAACAAACAAACAAAAAACCCCAACAUUAUUUAUUUAUUUAUUUUUGCUUUUUUAUGCCCAGGCUAGGGGUGGAGUUAGAGCUACAGCCACCGGCCUUCGCCACAGCAAUGCCAGACCCAGCCGCCUCUGCGACCUACACCACAGCUCACGGCAACGCCGUAUCCUCAACCCACUGAGCAGUGAGGCCAGGGAUCAAACCUACAUCCUCAUGGAUACUAGUUGGAUUCAUUUCUGCUGAGCCACAAUGGCAACUCCUGGCAGAUAUUCUCAAAUUUGAGCCUGCAUCACGAUAACCUGCAAAACUUACCAUCACACAUGUUGAUGUGCCCAACCCUAGAGUUUGGGGUUUAUUUCAAAGGCAGCCAGGUCUGAUGAUUUGUGUUUGUAACAGCUUCCCGGGUAGUGCUGGUACAGCUGGCCUCGGGGUCACAUUCUGAGACAAUGGAUCUUUGGGUUCACAAUUUACAGCUAUCCUGAGCAAUGCCCCGACUUGCUCAAGAACAGAUACCAUACCUGUUAGUCCCAUCUGCUCCUGAAAAAACAAGUCUUGGGCACAUCUUGGAAAUUUUAACUAGGCUUUCCCAAAAAUGUUUUGCUGCCUAGAAAUCUCUGUACAGCUCGGAUUGUACAGCAGAGAGAUAAACUAUAUUAGGUAUGGUUGUCAUCGGUUGAAUUGUGUCUCUCCAAAGGUACGCUGACGUCCUAGUUGCUGGUACUUGUGAAACCUGUGUCCUAUGCAAGCUUGCAUCUGCAUCUUCCAUCUACACCCCAGCUCGCGGCAACGCGGGAUCCUUAACGCACGGAGGGAAGCCAGGGAUCGAACCUGAAUCCUCAUGGAUACUAGUUGGGUUCUUAACCCACUGAGCUGCAACAGGAACUCCAACUGCCCACUCUUUUUGGAAAGCAGAGGGAGGCAGCUGUUCCUCAUUCUUUCACGCACUUUCACGUUAUCAGUAUUCAGCCAACAAUUUCUUCCUGAGAAGGAACAGAACAAGUCUGUACAGCCACUCCUGCAAACAUAGUGAGAACGUCAGCGCGAAGACGGCGGCCGUGUUGGGUCAUGGCGCCCUCUGGUGGCCACUGUGGAAAAGAGCAGGACAUCACCGGGACCCAGCGAGAGCCUGGAGGACGGAGGUGAGAGCACAACGCAGAGGCCCCUGGUGUGAGGCGCGGGAUCUUGCCGUAGGACAGUACCUGUCUGGCAGGCUGUGGUCUGGAAGCUGGCAGAGGACAGGCCUGUGAGGGACAUUCUCUUUCCUGUCAGCCCCGCUGCUUCGAGGUGAUGCCCAUGGAGCCCGCAGGGAGAGGCCUUCGCUGCUCUCCUUUCCCAUAAAAGGCAGCCCCUGGG